GCCGGCGUGUGGAGUCAGGUGUGGAGCCUGAGCACAGCUGGCUCUAAUUUGUGGAGC
Otolemur garnettii (small-eared galago) is the source of this 57-nucleotide microRNA precursor. NCBI's taxonomy places the organism in Eukaryota, Metazoa, Chordata, Mammalia, Primates, Galagidae. The record is from Ensembl.